GCUGAAGGAGCAGCUGAAAGCAGCUGCGCAAGAAACACCCCACCCCCCUGAAGAUCAUCGUCUUCAACACCAUCCCAAACGACCCCUUCCCCAUCCGUCCAGCUUCUCUUCAAUCUAGAGAGAUAGCGACCAUUUUUAUAUACUCAGACCCACCAGCGAACAACCAAGGGAACCAGCGAUACCCUUUCAUCUCUUCAACUCCACCACCAAUUCCGCCAACCACUCACCAUCAAGCAGAAACAGAAGCUGAAAAACGAAAAAUUGGGAGAAAAUUUCAAGGAUUUUCGGAUAGAAAAAUAGGAACAAGAACUAGAGUUUGGGUUUUUCUUUUCAGAUUUUCCCAUUUCUGUCUUCAUCUUUGUUUAUUUAUAGAUUAAAGGAAAUCGGUUCCUCUGGUCCAAUUUAAUUUCAAGUUCAAAAAAUACACAAAAAGGCAUUCUGGUAUUCUCUGAAAUUUGUGUUUCGAAGAAAUGGAGUUUAGUUGAGUCAGUUUGAAUUUGCCGAUUUCGAGUCGCCGUUCGAGGUUCACAGUGGAGUUCUCUGUUGCUGUUGCAAUUCGAAUCUGACUUGUAAUUGCUUGUAAAUCGAAUCAAUUAAAGAAAUAUUGCUCAGUAUACAAAGUUGGCUAUAUAAUCAUGUUGAAUUUGAUCGGUUGUUCAACCGGAGAUUCCGUUGGCCUAUUGUUAGCUUCGGCAGAUCUGUAGUCUUAUAAGAAUCAAAUAAUUCCUAAUAUGGUUUGUCUCUUUUUUUCUUAUUUAGUCAUUUGUUAGGAUUCAUAUUUGUUAUAAAAUUCUGUUUGUUUCAUUCUUUAGUUGGAAAACAAAUAGUCCGAGAAUUACUAUGAAUUUGUUUAAGUUACUUGGGGUUGUUUUAUUUCCUUAAUAAACAUAUCGUAGUCUGCUGUGCUUCUCGCUAGAUUUUACAAAUGGUAAAGAAAACAUUGCAAGUGUAAAUGUGAGCACUUCAUUUUUGAUGAAAAUGUUUGACUUUGGAUUAAGUGUUGA
This is a long non-coding RNA of Nicotiana tabacum (common tobacco), 1004 nucleotides long. RefSeq lists it as uncharacterized. Lineage: Eukaryota; Viridiplantae; Streptophyta; Magnoliopsida; Solanales; Solanaceae. The record is from RefSeq and is a predicted model, not a curated record.